RNAcentral lists this ribosomal RNA (253 nucleotides) under uncultured bacterium. RNAcentral describes it as "partial 16S ribosomal RNA". It matches the Rfam family "Bacterial small subunit ribosomal RNA", at positions 524 to 776 of the family's 1533-position model. The record is from RNAcentral.
UACAGAGGGCUCAAGCGUUGUUCGGAUUCAUUGGGCGUAAAGGGAGCGUAGGUGGCGGGGUUAGUCAGGUGUGAAAUCUCGGGGCUCAACCCCGAAACUGCACUUGAUACUGCCUUGCUAGAGUACUGGAGAGGAGAUUGGAAUUUACGGUGUAGCAGUGAAAUGCGUAGAUAUCGUAAGGAAGACCAGUGGCGAAGGCGAAUCUCUGGACAGUUACUGACGCUGAGGCGCGAAGGCCAGGGGAGCAAACGGG